CUCCGGGGCGACCCUGCCUUCGGGCGGGGGCUCCGGGUGGACACUUCAAACUCUUGCGUAACUUUGCAGUCUGAGUAAACUUAAUUAAUAAAUUAAAACUUUUAACAACGGAUCUCUUGGUUCUGGCAUCGAUGAAGAACGCAGCGAAAUGCGAUAAGUAAUGUGAAUUGCAGAAUUCAGUGAAUCAUCGAAUCUUUGAACGCACAUUGCGCCCCCUGGUAUUCCGGGGGGCAUGCCUGUUCGAGCGUCAUUUCACCACUCAAGCCUCGCUUGGUAUUGGGCAACGCGGUCCGCCGCGUGCCUCAAAUCGACCGGCUGGGUCUUCUGUCCCCUAAGCGUUGUGGAAACUAUUCGCUAAAGGGUGUUCGGGAGGCUACGCCGUAAAACAACCCCAUUUCUAAGGUUGACCUCGGAUCAGGUAGGGAUACCCGCUGAACUUAAGCAUAUCAAU
Molecule: ribosomal RNA, 451 nt
Filed under: Cladosporium sp.
Lineage: Eukaryota; Fungi; Ascomycota; Dothideomycetes; Cladosporiales; Cladosporiaceae
Description: eukaryotic LSU rRNA
Rfam family: 5.8S ribosomal RNA (bases 97-250)
Source: RNAcentral